UGCACACCCGAACGCUCGCGAGUGCCACGUCGUGUGCAGCGGUUGGGCGUAGCGAUGGAAAAAAAAUGACCUAUUCAGGCUCUCCUCGCGACCCUCCUCUCCUUCCUAAUCUCCUGCCGCCGCCACCCGGUCCUUCCUCCUCGCCUCUGCCAUUCGAUCUCCGCCGCUCGGUCUUCUCCCCUGCAUGCGCUCCGUCCCUUCCUCCUCGUUGGCGCUCAACUGGCAGUUGAUGAGCAGCGGCGGACGAGCAGCGGCGGACGAGAUCGGCGCGUCACGAGAGCGAACACGGCAGCUAUCACGGGCAGAGCAGAGCGAAGCCGGCGUGGCGGCCGGGCGCGAUCUGGAGAACUAGUGGGCGGUGAUGCCCGAUAUGGGCCGGCGCGACCUACGCAGCGGAGCGAUCUGGACGAGAUGACUGGUGCCGGUUUCCUCACCAUGCUGCGACCAGUGCCUCGGCAGGUGAGUUGUGUUGUUGUCCUCUUCGACGACGACGGCGGGCGGCACGCCCAUCAGUGCCCGUGUGCCCCGACCGAUGUGGACUGCUUGCGUUGGGCCAUAGCAGCUGCUUGCUCAAGCCGGCGUGUGGACUGCCUGAUUGGUCAAUGAAGGCCUCAACCAUUGGAGGCACAAAAUUGUGAAGCUUAAGAUUCCCCACCCUUGUUUCAAUCUCCGAGGAUUUCUCAAUGGAGGGUUUGUUUAACACGGAUAAGCCUUUUUACCUUAUUCUUGCUUUACACACUAAUAUCAGUUAAAUGAAUUUCUGAUAUGAUUGCUUCAGUGAUAAUUUUUGCAGAAGCACAUGCUGAUGGUGCACUUGCCUUUGGAAUAAUUACUUUGCUCUACAACAGUAUGAAGGGUAAGCUAAUUCUAUUGUCACUGUGCUUCACACUUCUCUGUCAUGGUUUACAGAUUCAGAUCUAGCAAUUAUGCUAAAGGCAGAGACAGAGAAGGGGAUUAGUGGAGUGGAUUUUCAUUUUCAGUACUGGCUUUUACCAUGACCCUGUCGUUGCCUCGUACUACAGCAACAUAUAUGGUCAGUACUACAUCUAUGAGAAUGGAUAUUACGUGUUAUGGACUUCAGAUGCGGUACAGAGCUGCUGAGAGAAGGGUAGACAUAUCUACAAAGAGGGCCACAAGCCUAGUAUGAUUUGUCAGAGCGACAUCUACCCUCCCUGCCACAAAUGAUUGAUCCUUUUAACCAGAUUCAGAAUCCGAACUUUCGUUUCAUUAAAAAAGAAAACCGAGGUUGGUCAUCCAUGAUGCAUUUAUAGAUCCAUUUGAUGAUGAAUCCCAUCCCAUCUUGAAUACCCCUCCCUUCAUUUCAAAGGUACUAGACUACUAGCUAGCAUUACCUUGUUUGUGUUUGCCGAUUAAGUUUUGAGAUGAAUAGCUAUUAUUUUUAUUCUGAAUCUUUUAUAUAUGACAACUUCUGUACAUACUGAUGUCCAGAUAAAUCAGCUAUGUAGUUUUGAUAUUUCAUAUAUACCAUCAAUUUUUUCCUCAAGCAAUGAGAUUAAAAUCAGUUCUGUGUUGUGCAACAAAUAUCAUCAGAGUGAUCACUCCAAGAUUUUAAUAUUGGUAAUUAUGUAUGGUCCUAGCCAUUUUUGGUAGCAUACUGUAGCCAAGAUAUAGUAUGUACUGUCAUUUUUCUUUUUGUGGUUGAAAGAUAUGACAGUUCAGUUGUCCAACAAGAAUUUUAGAGGUUACUUCAGAACUUUGGGUCAUUAGUUUGGAGAAACAUUUUUGGCUUUCCCUCUUCUGCUGCUGUUCAUGAGGAUAUCCCUUUUUUUAAAAUUAUUGCGUUAAUUAAGAAAAGGCUAUACCAUGUUAUUUGGAAAUUUAUCUCAGCUUUUUUGUUUGCAAAUUGAUUUGUUGAACUUUUGGUGUAAGGAGAUCAACUACCUCUUGCUUGCAUUGCAUGUUAAAACGCUUUGGUGAAGAAAUAUGUAAUAUAAGAGGUAUUCUCCUCUUCAGUUUGACUUCUUGACAAAUGAAAUAAAAGUGAAUUCUUAAUGGAAAUACACCCGAUCCUUUCUAUAUGGCAAUGACAGUUCUAGGAUUAGUAGUUCUACUUAAUAUUUCUUAUUAUUUGUUGUCAAAUACACCUAAAGGCACCAUAGUAUUUAUUUUUGUUAAUAAUCAUUGACUUGAUAUUAGAGCUUUAUCGUCUCAGUUUAUAUUUUUUCAAAUGGAUUUGCUUAUCAAAUGGUUGUCUCUUGGGUAAUGUGUGCACUUAAUUCAAGCCAAGUUAUGAACUGGAAUGCAUUUGCAAGCAGAGGAGCGUGUCCGGCUGUUGUCGUACGAGAAGAAGCUAGUGUGUGCAGCUGAGGACCCAGGAUGCUAACGGUGUAGAGUCGUUCACCAUCGAGAGGACCAGGGCUUCCAUCAUGGUCCUCCGGACCAAGCUCAACAUAUCUGCCGCCUUCAUCGACAACUUGUCCUGGAGGAUCAUUGCCGUCUGCAACGACUCACCUGAAUGUACGCCUGUGAUGGCAUUUUAGUUUCUUCCCCACGUGAUGCAUCAAUACAAUAAGUUUAUCAAGAAUUGCAUGAAUGUGCUAUCCAGAUCCAAAAAGAAAAUGAAGGUGUCGUUCCCCAACCUGGCACUGCCCAGUCCAUUUUAGUCUUAUUGUUUCACUCAGCAACUUUACAGCUACUUCCAUAUUCCUCUGCUUAGUCUUAGACAAAUGCAGAUAAGAAAGUGAGCAUUCCUCUA
This is a long non-coding RNA of Triticum aestivum (bread wheat), 2716 nucleotides long. RefSeq lists it as uncharacterized. NCBI's taxonomy places the organism in Eukaryota, Viridiplantae, Streptophyta, Magnoliopsida, Poales, Poaceae. The transcript is spliced from 6 exons. The record is from RefSeq and is a predicted model, not a curated record.